GAUGAAGAACGUAGCGAAAUGCGAUACGUAAUGUGAAUUGCAGAAUUCAGUGAAUCAUCGAGUCUUUGAACGCACAUUGCGCCCCCUGGUAUUCCGGGGGGCAUGCCUGUCCGAGCGUCAUUGCUGCCCUCAAGCCCGGCUUGCGUGUUGGGUCUCGUCCCCCUUCCCGGGGGGACGGGCCCGAAAGGCAGCGGCGGCACCGCGUCCGGUCCUCGAGCGUAUGGGGCUUUGUCACCCGCUCUGUAGGCCCGGCCGGCGCUUGCCGAUCAACCAAAACUUUUUUCCAGGUUGACCUCGGAUCAGGUAGGGAUACCCGCUGAACUUAAGCAUGUCAAUAAGCGGAGGA
Molecule: unclassified non-coding RNA, 346 nt
Filed under: soil metagenome
Description: partial contains 5.8S ribosomal RNA, internal transcribed spacer 2, and large subunit ribosomal RNA
Rfam family: 5.8S ribosomal RNA (bases 1-120)
Source: RNAcentral